RNAcentral lists this ribosomal RNA (460 nucleotides) under uncultured bacterium. Its description in RNAcentral is "partial 16S ribosomal RNA". It matches the Rfam family "Bacterial small subunit ribosomal RNA", at positions 338 to 795 of the family's 1533-position model. The record is from RNAcentral.
CCUACGGGAGGCUGCAGUGAGGAAUAUUGGUCAAUGGGCUUACGCCUGAACCAGCCAAGUCGCGUGAGGGAAGACUGCCCUAUGGGUUGUAAACCUCUUUUGUCAGGGAGCAACGCCGGCUACGUGUAGCCGGACUGAGAGUACCUGAAGAAAAAGCAUCGGCUAACUCCGUGCCAGCAGCCGCGGUAAUACGGAGGAUGCGAGCGUUAUCCGGAUUUAUUGGGUUUAAAGGGUGCGUAGGCGGAAUGCCAAGUCAGCGGUAAAAUCGCGGGGCUCAACCUCGCUCCGCCGUUGAAACUGUCGUUCGUGAGUGGGCGAGAAGUAUGCGGAAUGCGUGGUGUAGCGGUGAAAUGCAUAGAUAUCACGCAGAACUCCGAUUGCGAAGGCAGCAUACCGGCGCCCAACUGACGCUGAAGCACGAAAGCGUGGGUAUCGAACAGGAUUAGAUACCCCUGUAGUC